AUGGGGAGCACAGUGAUGGUGUCGGGAGGGAAGGCACCGGGGGUCUCAGAAAGGAUCUCCACGUGUCGACUGGUGCCUCCUGAAGGCAUCCUGUUUCCAGCCCCGUUCCGCGGUGCACUCAGUCCCUCGGUUCAGACAGGCCCGCCUUCCAGCUCUUCUGACCUUCAGAUCAACGCACGAGCCCAGGGCUCCUCUGACCUGACGGUGUGGGGUCUGUGCCUGCUUCUGUGCUCCCAAAUCUCCCAGGGAGAGACGUAUCCUAAACCCCACUCCACGACAACGUGGCAGCCUCUGACCCCUCCCUGCACCGUCAUUCUCCCUUCGAAAACUCCUGAGGACGCAGCCCGGCUGCCGUUCAGUGGCUGUCUGCUGAAUGCAUCUUGGGAAGAGGUGAAAAUUGUCCUUUCUGAUUAUAGAAUGGAGAUUCGAUGCGUUCAAGAAACGAGGACACCCUGGAGGGCAUCUGAGCCUGGACUCUGUGACACCUGUUACCAGCGUGGUCUCAGGCCUUCUGCUGGGCAGAAUGAAUGUCAGCUGCAGGUGGGGUCCUCGCGGAGGCCAAGGACAGAAGGAGGAGACACAGGUGUCGGGGACGCGGGCCCUGGGCUUUACGACUCGACUCUUGGGCCUUCCUUGAGAACUGAGCUCUGGCCUUUGGCUCCAAUCACCUUGGAGAGGAGACCUGGCCCGGGGGGACCGGUGGCCUCUUUCGGGUUGGCAUCCAUGCAAGUACGAGAAGUUGCCCUUGGAGAGGGGGGGACUCACACAGUCGUCCUGUGUCCCCGGCUUGACAUUCUCUGUCCAAACUCCAUCUCAGCGCUCCCGCCAAGCCUCUGCCUCCCCCGGGCGUCCCUGGCUGGGCCCACGGAGGAUUCUCUCCCUUUAGGACUAAACUGACUUGAGGCGCUGAACCGACCGGAUCCUCUGGGUGGCGGUUCCUUCCCUACGCAUCCUAGCAAGGGAGCAUGAGGACGUGAGGGCCCGGGGCUUACCGUGCCGCUUUGGUGCCGGUUCAGGCUCCCGGGUCAUUCCUGUGCCCGUCCCCUCUCUGCGGUCCCCUAUGCUUCCCGUGCCCCUGCAUGGGCUGGGACUGGAGUCACUGUCCUUCUGGCUCCCUGUGCUACAACAGAUGGCCUGGGCGCCCCUCCACGGUCGGUCAGCCAGCCAGAGAGCGGCCACCGGUACCUGCUGAUAACUUGUCUGUUCCUUCCCUGCCUUCCGGUCCAAGUUGGAGGACAUAGCCAAGCCUCGAGGGACGCGUUCUGCCACGUGGUACUGACCACGUGGGCUUAAUGAAGACAGGUGAGGGUCAGGAGUGAUUGGCACAGAGCGGAUACUCGGCACUAAGUAACUGUCACCACCGUCACCACCACCACCAUCGUUCAUUAUAACUACUUGUCUAUCACCCCUCCAUCUCGCGCGGUCCGGGCCCGGUGUAGACGAUCCCGCCAUCAUAUGGACUCAAUCACUGUGGCCGACAAGUGCGUCUAGAAUCCAAGGGCUCCCCCUCCAGAGCGGAGGAAGCAUGCUUCCUACCUGGAAAGAGAGAAGACAAGCUGUGUCGUCCGGUGGGGGGAAGCCCUGAUUUCCGAGGGUCGC
Molecule: long non-coding RNA, 1599 nt
Filed under: Felis catus (domestic cat)
Lineage: Eukaryota; Metazoa; Chordata; Mammalia; Carnivora; Felidae
Description: lncRNA (ENSFCAG00000051079.1)
Source: RNAcentral